RNAcentral lists this ribosomal RNA (263 nucleotides) under uncultured bacterium. RNAcentral describes it as "partial 16S ribosomal RNA". It matches the Rfam family "Bacterial small subunit ribosomal RNA", at positions 524 to 785 of the family's 1533-position model. The record is from RNAcentral.
UACGGAGAGGGCAAGCGUUGUUCGGAUUUAUUGGGCGUAAAGCGCGCGUAGGUGGCAUGGUAAGUCGAAUGUUAAAGACCCACGGCUCACCCGGGGGUAUGCGUCCGAUACUGCCGUGCUAGAGUGCGGGAGAGGAAAGUGGAAUUCCUGGUGUAGCGGUGAAAUGCGUAGAUAUCAGGAGGAACACCGGUGGCGAAGGCGGCUUUCUGGCCCGCAACUGACACUGAGGCGCGAAAGCGUGGGGAGCGAACGGGAUUAGAUAC